GGACUACUGGGGUAUCUAAUCCUGUUUGCUCCCCACGCUUUCGCCCAUCAGCGUCAGUACUGGCCCAGAGUGCCGCCUUCGCCACCGGUGUUCCUCCUGAUAUCUGCGCAUUUCACCGCUACACCAGGAAUUCCGCACUCCCCUACCAGACUCAAGUCAUAGCAGUAUCGGGUGGCGUCUCUGGGUUGAGCCCAGAGUUUUCACACCCGACUUACCAAACCGCCUACGGGCCCUUUACGCCCAAUAAAUCCGGACAACGCUCGCACCCUACGUGUUACCGCGGCUGCUGGCAC
Molecule: ribosomal RNA, 293 nt
Filed under: uncultured bacterium
Lineage: Bacteria
Description: partial 16S ribosomal RNA
Source: RNAcentral